AUGUCAAAACCAUUAGAGAGAUACCAAAAACUUGGCUUGAAAGAGUCUUUACCAAGAAUUCACAGGUACCCGUUAGCCUGUAAAAAGCUGAGCUUAAUUCUCAGAGGCGCUUACAAGAAAAUUCCCAAGAAUCUUCAAUCGCUCAUCUUCCAGGACACCCUCACCGCCUUUCGUCUCCUCCCUGAGUAUGCUUUUUCCCGUAUCUCGGAUUUUAUAAACUCUUUCUUCUUGUUUUGA
Molecule: long non-coding RNA, 237 nt
Filed under: Prunus dulcis (almond)
Lineage: Eukaryota; Viridiplantae; Streptophyta; Magnoliopsida; Rosales; Rosaceae
Description: sRNA ncRNA
Source: RNAcentral